CAGCCGCCGCGGGAAUACGAAGGGGGCUAGCGUUGCUCGGAAUUACUGGGCGUAAAGGGCGCGUAGGCGGACAGUUCAGUCGGGGGUGAAAGCCCGGGGCUCAACCUCGGAAUUGCCUUCGAUACUGGCUGUCUUGAGUGUGAGAGAGGUGUGUGGAACUCCGAGUGUAGAGGUGAAAUUCGUAGAUAUUCGGAAGAACACCAGUGGCGAAGGCGACACACUGGCUCACUACUGACGCUGAGGCGCGAAAGCGUGGGGAGCAAACAGGAUUAGAUACCCCAGUAGUCCCUGUCUCUUAUAC
RNAcentral lists this ribosomal RNA (301 nucleotides) under uncultured bacterium. RNAcentral describes it as "partial 16S ribosomal RNA". It matches the Rfam family "Bacterial small subunit ribosomal RNA", at positions 509 to 807 of the family's 1533-position model. The record is from RNAcentral.